This 593-nucleotide long non-coding RNA is filed under the name Zostera marina. RNAcentral describes it as "long non-coding RNA (ZMAR_LNC001270)". Lineage: Eukaryota; Viridiplantae; Streptophyta; Magnoliopsida; Alismatales; Zosteraceae. The record is from RNAcentral.
GAAAUUUUCUCUCAUCUUCUGAUAGUUGUAUCUUCCAAACUUAACAUAUGCGAUUUUUUAUAUAGUCAUAGAUUGUAGCCAAAUCUCGUAUGAAAUCUCUUGCGGUGACUUUAACAGGCCGAGAGAGCCCCUCUUUAUGUCGUAGAUUCCUCUCCCUCCAAAGAUGUCAUAUAUAUAUAUUACAAGUGCAUUCCAAUGUAAACCCCAGCAUGGUGCUGACUUCCUGAAUUUGGAUAUCCCUUCUAUGAUAUCACUUACCUUUGUGUCUCCUUGCUUUAUCGUUGUGAUACCCAUAGUCAUCUAUAGAGCAUAAUCUGUCAAUCGUGUAAAUUUAUUCCAAAGAGUCCAGUUACAGUCGUAAUUGAAAAAUAGGUGGGUUAUCGUUUCCUCAGUUGCGUCGCAAUUGAAAAAUAAGCGGAAUAUGUUAUUUGGGUUCUAUAUUUUGUAAAAAAAUAUUUUCAUUGAAAAAAAAUAAGGUUAGCUUCAGAUCAUGUGUGUUUCAUUUAUAAUAGUGUGUUUCAUUUAUUAAAUAAUUUGUAAUCAUUAUCAAUCAUUAUAACACAAUUAUAACACUAAAAGCGAUCAAUUAAUUA